UUUUUUUUUAUUUUUUUUUUCAGUAAUUCAUUUCUCUGAUUGCUAAUCCUGGCUCUGUGGUUAAUUCCUCCUUUACUCUCCUGUGAAAAUCCCUAUCAGCAACUUGCUGAGGUUCCCUUUUGGAUUCCUCCCGUUUUGGCUUUGUUGCAGUGGCUAUCCCUGUUGGGAUGUCACUGGCCAGAGACUGCUCUGAUGUGAAAAGACACCAGGUGGGCUUCUGCUGUGCCUGGCAUGUGACGUCCCACUGCGUGCAAAUCCUGGCUCAUCUGCUUGUCUGUCUCAGCCACAAAAGGUUCCAGCCUUGUGGCAAUUUGGUGGAAAUUGUGUAAAAGGAGUGGUGGAUUUUACUUGUGUGUGCUGAAGUCUUGUAUCCUGGGAUCUUGUGCCAGAGUUACAUGAAUUGCUGCAGUAUUCUGGCUGAAGUGUGGAAUACCGUGAAUGAGGAAAUGGCCAAAAUCAUUCCUGGUAGCGUUCAGCAUAGCGCUUGCCUUUAAAUGACAGGAAUUACUCUUAGCAUUAAAUUAACUAGUACAGUAUAUCCAAACAUCUGUAAGGAAACCUUAAUGACAACACAAGGCAGCUCACUAUAAUUCUGAAGACUUAUGUAUUGUUUUCUCCUGGGAUGCUCAUGUUAGUAGCUUGGCCAUGACUUGUCCCAAGUGCAGUACUAGCAAUUUGUAAUGUAAUCUUUUGUACUUAAGUCCAGGCAAAAUGUUCAAUAUCCUACAUUGCCGAAGAGCUCUGGGAUCCAAUUUCUUUCCAAUAAACCUUCAGUUUAAAAAGAAAAGCACUUGUAGAGGUCUGCUUUGUUCUGUACAUACGAUGAAGAGCAGCUGAAAGGGAACCAACAGCAGGCUGAUCUGAAAAAGAAUUCUUGCAGUCUGUUUUCUGACCCUGAGUCCAGAACUCCAUAAAUGGUACCAUGAACACAGCAACAAAUUCACUUCUGUUUUAAGUUGCAGCUUUCUCAAAUAAGAAUUCUGUGCGGCUUCUCCCUGUUUCACCAACAUCCAAUGGGUGAGUUCUGCUUUUUCUUGGUUUAGACAUGAAGAACAUUCUCACCUGUCUCUACCCUAACAGGUUUUGCAUGCUAAUGGUUUCUGUUGGUGGGAGAACUACAGAGUUUCUGCAAAACUGAAAGCAAGCACCCGGAAUGCACUUGCACCAGUGUAUGCAGCAGGCUUGGUGAAUGCACCACAGCAAAAGUGAUGCCAGACAGGUAUCUGCUACUCUUCAGUUCUCUACUUGCACUUCUUACCCUGGUCAUCAGCCUCAGACUGAUGCAAAUGUCAAUGAACUGACGUGGACAAAGAGGUUUUAAGGUUUUAUGUGUUAGGUGUCAAUGUGUUAGAAGCUGAUACCAGCAGGUGCAACUUGCACUUUGUAGCCUCCGGUAAAGGCAUGUCUGUGUUCCUGCAGUGUUGUCUUCUGAAGCAACAAUCUAACUGCACUUGGACAAGCUCUAACUGGGCACAAGGAUAACUUUAUGCUGUCAUGAAAUUAAAGAAGGAAUAAAAAUGUAAA
Long non-coding RNA from Pezoporus occidentalis (night parrot), 1524 nucleotides. RefSeq lists it as uncharacterized. The record is from RefSeq and is a predicted model, not a curated record. The transcript is spliced from 2 exons. NCBI's taxonomy places the organism in Eukaryota, Metazoa, Chordata, Aves, Psittaciformes, Psittacidae.